CAGCCGCCACGGUAAUACGGAGGGUGCAAGCGUUAAUCGGAAUUACUGGGCGUAAAGCGCACGCAGGCGGUCUGACAAGUCAGAUGUGAAAUCCCCGGGCUUAACCUGGGAACUGCAUUUGAAACUGUCAGGCUGGAGUCUUGUAGAGGGGGGUGGAAUUCCAGGUGUAGCGGUGAAAUGCGUAGAGAUCUGGAGGAAUACCGGUGGCGAAGGCGGCCCCCUGGACAAAGACUGACGCUCAGGUGCGAAAGCGUGGGGAGCAAACAGGAUUAGAUACCCCUGUAGUCCCUGUCUCUUAUAA
Molecule: ribosomal RNA, 301 nt
Filed under: uncultured bacterium
Lineage: Bacteria
Description: partial 16S ribosomal RNA
Rfam family: Bacterial small subunit ribosomal RNA
Source: RNAcentral